UGCUAAAAAGCCCUGGCUUUGGAUUCAGACACAACUGGAUUUUGAGUCCAUCCCCAUGAAUUCCUAUGUCCUCUAACUUAGUAAGUUAGGAUCAAGUUUUUACCCACAUUGAAAAACCUAUCUGCAUGGUGUCUAGAAAGAUAAAUCAUAAUGGGAAACUGAUGCUUCUUAUAAAUUACCUAUCUUUCCUGAUAGCCUGUAAUAUGAUUAUGAAAGGACUUAUAUGUCACUCCCAUUUCCAAUUUAUAUUAUAGAACAUGCACAAUUUUAAUUGGCUUCAUCAGAACUGCUACAUUUAUAGAAUCUUUAUUCUUCCUCACUUAAAAGUCCUCUGACACCCAGUUCUCUGACAGAUAAUUCAACAAGGGAUUAAUAUUUAACAAAAAUAUUCAACGUCAAUAUUUACCAUUUACUCUGAAUGUACACGUUCUACCAAUGAAAGAAACAAACAGUAGUGUGCUAAAUUAAAGGAAAUAUGUAACAGGAAGUGUGAUACCAAACCCACUGGAAAUACUUAUCUUUCAAUUUCUUUCCAUUAAAACUUUUAACAGAAUUUUACACUUAGACUCUUUAAACUCUUAUAAGAUCUUCCGGAGUUCCCGUGUGGCUCAGCAGUACCAACCCAACUAGUAUCCAUGAGGAUGUGGUUUUGAUCCCUGAACUCACUCAGUGGGCUAAGGAUCCGGCAUUGCUGGGAGCUGCAGAGUAGGUCGCAGACAAGGCUCAGAUCUGGCCUUGCUGUGGCUUUGGCCAGCAGAUGCAGCUCUGAUUCCACCCCUAGCCUGGGAACUUCCAUAUGCAGGGGGCGCGGCCCUAAAAAGAAGAAAAGAAAAAAAAAAAAAAGUUUCCUUGUUACAGCACUAGGAAUUGCAAAAUGUUACCUGCACUAUUUCCAUACUGCCUUUAAGUUCAAAAAUACUUCCACAAUUAUUAGUUCAUUUAAUUCCCCCAACAACCCUGUGAAGAGUGUGUGUGUGUGUGUGUGUGUGUGUGUGUGUGUGUGUGUGUGUUAAGAAAAAAUAACUAAAGCUCAAGAGGCCAACAGAGUGAAUGGCCUGAAAUCACAGUUAACAACCUGGUCCAACUUCAGCCCAGUGCUCUUUCCUUCUCACAGACGUGGGUUCAGGGCAAAUAUAAAAAGCUGGAAGAUAAUCAAGGACUCACUUUAUUCUCUGCCUGACAACCAUCCUGACUUAAUUAUAUGAUCAGAUUUUCAAUACACUUGAGUAGAUUUCUUUUGGUAAAUUUGCCAGCAAGUAGACUAAACAUUUUGCUCGUCCUAGAUAAAAUUUAACUUUUAUAAAGAAUAUAAAAGGAAAAUGCACUAGACCACAAUCUUCUUAAAAUUGUAUUAUAAAAGUAAACCUGAAUAAGAGAUUAUAUAUGAAAUGACUCUUUUAGAAAAAUCCCUAUAAUGCAAAAACAAUUGGAGUCUUGAUACUAUUAAAGAACUAAGGUGAAUAUAAAUGUUUCAUAAAUAUCAUCUAUUUAAUUCCAGACCUAUAUGAUAUUCUAUGCUCUUUCCUGACAAUUCAUACCAAGAAUUAUGAGUUACUGCUAUUAUUCAUUUAUUUACAGAAUGAGGAUACAAAAUUAAAAUAUAUAAGGAAAAUGUGUGUAAGGGGGAAGGUAUCAAUUUUCUUACGAAGUAGAAGAAUAAAUAAGAACCUUUGAAAAAUUUAAAAAAAAAUCUUCAGUAUAAAGUCCUUUUUUUGUCUUUGCAGAUUCCUGAACACAAUUUAACUUAUGGAAAUAAGACAUGUGGGUUACCAGCGAUCACUGCAGUAAACAAUAUAAACAUGAGUGGUCAUAGCAAAUAAAAUUGGCUUUCACUUCCUAUUAGCCACCGCUAGCAAUACCCAAUGUUUAGUUUCCUUCAGAAUAUUAGAGAAGUAAUAGGAUUUUCCUUCUCAGGAAUAAUCGUGGCAUACACUAGAAGUAUGUAGGCGGAUACCCCAAGUUUCUCCUUACACCUUCCCUAAUCUACAAAAAAGUCCUAACUUCCAUUCCUGCCUUUCCCAGGAAAUGAUCAAAACAGUCCUCAGCAACCAUACAGGAAAUAGGACACAUGGUCCAGAAAUUUAAGAAAGUGGCAUCGAUGUACUUGACCUUGCUAGUUUUUGCUAGACAUCAAAAAUAACAGGAACUCUGUGCACACUUUACUUGGGAGGACAUUUUUUCCCUCACAAAGUCUUUGGAAAACAUGAUACAAUGAAAACCAAGACUAAACACCUGGUCAUGAACAAUACUCCAAAAGUGACAGUCUUCUGUGAUCAUCUCAUUUGGCAGGGGAGUCUUUCUAGAAACACUGAGAUCACCUAAAACAAAUACCCUGCCCUUGAUAAUGUCUAGAUUAUAAUGGCAGGAAAUGAGAUAUUUUUAAAUUUCUUAUUUUUGAAUUAUAAAAAAUUAUAUUCAAAGUAGAAAAAUACACCAGCUAUUUGGAUAAAUGCUCUUGAAGAUCUUAUGGUUGUUUUUUUGUUUGCUUGUUGGUUUUGUCUUUUUGCCAUUUAAUGGGCCACACCCGCGGCCUAUGGAGGUUCCCAGGCUAGGGGUUGAAUUGGAGCUGUAGCCGUCGGCCUACACCACAGCCACAGCAACACGGGAUCCGAGCUGCAUCUGCGACCUUUGCCACAGCUCACGGAAAUGCCAGAUCCUUAACCCACUGAGCAAGGUCAGGGAUCGAACCUGCAACCUCAUGGUUCCUAGUCGGAUUCGUUAACCACUGAGCCACAACAGGAACUUCUGUUUUAAAAAUUAUAAAGGAAAUAUUUUACGCCACUACAACUAAGUGGUUUUAAAAUGCUGUUUUUAAAAUAAAAACAGUUUCUAACUUUUACAUAGAAUUGCCUAAGUUCCUUUUAUUUAUUCAGAUACUUUAAGUGGCAAAAAAAUGUUAGAAAAUGUAUUCAAACGGUCUAAAUCUUGGCCACUAUGAAAGAUCUUAUGGUAUAUUUACUUGUAAAAAUGAAGUAAUUUAAUUACAUUGUUCAUGUUAAAAAUCUGGCUUGGGCCCAGAUUACCUACAAAUUAGCUCUGUUGAAAAUUUAUUUAUUAGUUAAUCCUACAAAUGCCAUAAGCCCUUAGAUGCAUUUGAAACAUUUGAUAUAUUCUUAUUCCUGUUUGCUCAUACAAUUAAGUUAUUUAGAAACAUUUUUGAAAUAAAGCAGAAAAAUAAAGAAAAUAAAAUGGAGAAGAAAUCUAAAAUAAACUUUAAUUGUUUGCAACACUUCAUAGAGCAUAUUAUCCUUAACCUUGGUAUAUAUCUUUGCACAGUCAACAUCAGACCUUAAUAUGAAAGAAGCAGCCCCAUUUUUCAGUUUUCUAAAAUUGACUAGUUAUUUCAAACCCAGUACUGUACUAUGGCAAAUAAAAUCUGAGUCAGACUUGGACAUUAAGGCUGGAUUAUGCAAUCAAACUCUAAGCAUUCAGAACCAUGGGACUAAGAUGUAAAGAGCAUCCUAGAGACUCUCAUACUAAGUGAAGUCAGUCAGAUAAAGACAAAUACAUAUGAUGUCACUUAUAUGUGGAAUCUAAUAAAAAUGAUACAAAAUAACUCAUUUCCAAAACAGAAACAGACUCGCAGAUUUCCAAAAUAAACUUAUGAUUACCAAAGGGGAAACAUGGAAGGUAGGCAUAAAUUUGGACCCAGUCCUAUAUAUAAAACAGAUAACUGAUGAGGACCUACUGUAUAACACAGGGAAAUCUACUCAAUAUUCUCUAAUAACCUAUAUGGGAAAAGAAUGGAUAUAUGUACAUGUAUAACUGAAUCACUUUGUUGUACACCUAAAAUCAACACGACAUUGUAAAUCAACUAUACUUUAAUAAUAUUUAAAGAUAAAUAAAUAAUAAAAAUAAAGAAAUAAAACAAAACAAGGAGUUCCCGUAGUGGCUCAGUGGAAAAGAAUCUGACUAGGAACCAUGAGGAUGCUGUUUCGAUCCCUGGCCUCGUUCAGUGGGUUAAAGAUCCGGUGUUGCCAUGAGCUGUGGUGUAGGUCACAGACAUGGCUCGGAUCCCGCAUUGCUGUGGCUGUGGUGUAGGCCAGCAGCUGCAGCUCUGAUUCGACCCCUAGCCUGGGAACCUCCAUAUGCCAUGGGUGUGGUCCUAAAAAGCCAAAAAACAAAAAGAGUACUCUGCUUUCCUAAUAUUUACUGUAUGAUUUUUGUAGACUAGGUAGGCUGGGUCAGCAGUCUAAAGUUAAGGAUAAAAACUUAAAGGACAAACAGCCAAACUCUGCUAUUAAGAAUCAUCAAAAUGUGAAGCAAUUUAAAAUGAAAUUUAUAUAAUUUCUUCUAGAAAGAAACAAGUUUGGCGAGUUUUAAAAGCAGAUGUCCUUAGAGAUAAUUUAGCAUCAUAAAAUGAGAUUUGUGUUUAAAUGAAAUAUAUUAUAUUUUGAGGGUACAAAAUGAUGAUGGUGAAUCAUGUUUCAAAAAUUUAAAAAGUGGCAUAUGAAUUUGCAUACAUUGUUUUAUGAAAAAUUGUAGACUAUCUUGCUUCAAUUUCCACAAAUUAAAGACUGGCAAUAUGAGCAAUCACAUCUAAAGUAAAUAAGAAUAUAUUUAAGAAGAAUUACAAUAAUAAUGGUAGUAAUAUUCAUAGUAGCCCACAUGUGCCAUGUACUGUAGCUUUCCUUUUUUAUUUUGCACAAAAAUUCUCAUAGAUAGUCUAUUGUUUCCACUUCAAAGAUGAGACUAUUUAGAAACUUUAGAUAAGUUAUCCUAUAAUAAGAUGCUAGAAAGUGGCAGAUUUGAUAUCAUAAAAUUUUAAAUACCAAAGAUCUUCAGAACUAAAAUACAUGCCAGAUUUGAAAGUCAACCGUCUACUUUUGGAAAAUAUAGUAAUGUCUUCUCGACUUGACUCUGUGAGAAUAAAGAAAAGGCAACAUAGUAGAAGGGUUUACAGAUGAGAAAUUUAAGUCUUCAGAGAGAAAAUGAUAUUAAGAUCAAAAACUGGUGAAACUAUCCAAGUCCUUACAAAUAUUCACACAAAUCAGUUAACAGAAUCACCCAUUUCUGAACACUUCUUAUGGGCUAAUGUAUAAAUCGGCUCACUUAAUUUCACAAUGACCAAAGGAGUCAUGGCCAAAAGGUGGCACAAUCAGGAUUCAAACCAAAGAAAUUCAUCUCUUCCAAAGUCCAUGUUCUCAGCCACCAUAAUGACCUCCAGCUUUUCUGGUUUCCAUUUCCCAGGAUUUAUCCAUCAGGAAACUUACACGAUAUUCCUUCCCUUAUAUAUAAAAUACUUGAAAAUCUGUUACAUAUUGUAUAUGAAUACUCAUCCCAAGAGGUUAAGUCCACAUAAAUAUCUUUCUAUUUAUGUCUCAGUGGUUCUUAUUCACCUUGUGUCUCAGGUACUUGUGAUGCAUAAUAACUUGCAUACUUGAGAAGGAAAACCACAGGAUGACUUUUUUUUCCUCAACAUCUAUCCACCCAUGGGAACCUCAUGUCACGGUCAAAGCAACUAUUUCAUGCCUUAGCUUCUGUCCUCACAACAGCUCCUGAAGCAUCCUUCUAAGGGAUGCAGAGUCACCUUGCUCAUCUUCUUCAUCUCCCUCAAAGGCUCCUGCAGUAACUAUUUCUAUUCUGCCAUUCAAUUUGAUUUCACUGUUUUUUCUCAGCCUCAUUUCUGUUUUGAUAAUUAAUCCCAAAUGAAGUGACCAGCAAUUGAGUAUAUUAGUAUAUACUGAUGUUGAGGAAAAGGCAUGUAAACAAAAAAUUACAUGCACGAGAAGGACAGAUAAAGGAAUCUCACUGUCUGGGCAGGAUUUGCAUGAGGAUAAUCAUAGUUGGUACAUUGUCAUCAUAAUCAAUUUCAAAGAGAUGGCCUCUCUAAUUUACACUUAUUGAUUUUAUAGCAGUAGAAACAACAUAGGUUGUAGCAAUUACAGGUUUGCUCAAA
RNAcentral lists this long non-coding RNA (5899 nucleotides) under Sus scrofa (pig). RNAcentral describes it as "lncRNA (ENSSSCG00035076291.1)". The record is from RNAcentral. Lineage: Eukaryota; Metazoa; Chordata; Mammalia; Artiodactyla; Suidae.